CCUACGGGAGGCAGCAGUAAGGAAUAUUGGUCAAUGGAGGCAACUCUGAACCAGCCAUGCCGCGUGCAGGAAGACUGCCCUAUGGGUUGUAAACUGCUUUUAUCCGGGAAUAAACCUGCUUACGUGUAAGUAGCUGAAUGUACCGGAAGAAUAAGGAUCGGCUAACUCCGUGCCAGCAGCCGCGGUAAUACGGAGGAUCCAAGCGUUAUCCGGAUUUAUUGGGUUUAAAGGGUGCGUAGGCGGCCUGUUAAGUCAGGGGUGAAAGACGGUAGCUCAACUAUCGCAGUGCCCUUGAUACUGAUGGGCUUGAAUGGACUAGAGGUAGGCGGAAUGAGACAAGUAGCGGUGAAAUGCAUAGAUAUGUCUCAGAACACCGAUUGCGAAGGCAGCUUACUAUGGUCUUAUUGACGCUGAGGCACGAAAGCGUGGGGAUCAAACAGGAUUAGAUACCCUGGUAGUCCACGCCCUAAACGAUGAACACUCGCUGUUGGCGAUACACAUNAGCGCGAGAGAAGAGUAGUAGUUCGUAACCGUGGAGUUACGCCGCGAGGUUAGAAGACANAGAGUUAGAGCGNGAGAGNGCGAGCGACGACGAGGAGGAGG
This 603-nucleotide ribosomal RNA is filed under the name uncultured bacterium. RNAcentral describes it as "bacterial SSU rRNA". It matches the Rfam family "Bacterial small subunit ribosomal RNA", at positions 338 to 944 of the family's 1533-position model. The record is from RNAcentral.